GGUUGCUGUGGGGCUGUGGCCGCGGGUAGUGGAAGGGGUCGAGUGUUGCGCGGAAUGAGUUGGGGGAAAGGGCGCGGAGGCGGUUGGUACAGUCGGGGGUGAAAUUCCUGGGCUCAACCUGGGUGCUGGGUGCGAUACGUGCAGACUAGAGUGGGGAAGAGGGUCGUGGAAUUCCCAGUGUAGAGGUGAAAUGCGUAGAUAUUGGGAAGAACACCGGUGGCGAAGGCGGCGACCUGGUCCUUGACUGACGCUGAGGCGCGAAAGCGUGGGGAGCAAACAGGAUUAGAUACCCCUGUAGUC
This 300-nucleotide ribosomal RNA is filed under the name uncultured Carnobacterium sp. RNAcentral describes it as "bacterial SSU rRNA". The stretch from base 52 to 300 matches the Rfam family "Bacterial small subunit ribosomal RNA", at positions 547 to 795 of the family's 1533-position model. The record is from RNAcentral. Lineage: Bacteria; Bacillati; Bacillota; Bacilli; Lactobacillales; Carnobacteriaceae.